CGCCCCAAAGAUGGACUUUUUAAUUUUGUAUAAAAUAUAUCUUUGUAUAUAUUAUAUACAAUAACUGUAUAAUAUAUACAAAGAUAAAUGAAUAACAACAUUCAAAGGAACUUGAUCCUAACAGAGGCUAACACUGGCACACUCCAAUUCAUUUAUAGGGCCAGGCCUCCAGCAACCUGUAAACGUGUACCAACAAAACCUUCCCUUCCUCCUCCUUUUUUAAAAAAGAUUUUAUUUAUUUAUUUGACAGAGAGAGACACAGUGAGAGAGGAAACACAAGCAGAGGGAGUUGGAUAGGGAGAAGCAGGCUUCCUGCGGAGCAGGGAGUCCAACACAGAAGUCGAUUCCAGGACCGCUGAAUCAUGACCUGAGCCUGAAGGCAGAUGCUUAACAACUGAGCCACCCAGGCACCCUCCCUUCCCCCUUUUGAGUAUCUCUGUGAAACACUUGGCUCUUCCAAGAUGACAUAGCAUUCUCUUGACAAGGCCCUCUCCCGCACAUCUUAAGAACAUUUAAACACAGAUUCUGGGGUACCUGCAUGGCUCAGUCAGUUAAGCAUCUGCCUUCAUCUCAGGUCAUGAUCCCAGGACCCUGGGAUUGAGGCCCACAUGAGGCUCUCUGCUUAGCAGGGAGCCUGCUUCUCCCCCUCAGUUGCUCCCCCUGCUUGUGCAUGCACACUCUGUCAAAUAAAUAAAAUCUUAAAAAAAAUAAUAAAACAUAGAUUCUAAGGGGGAGAAAAGGAAGAGAAAACAAUGACCAUAUAAUGGCAUUCCUAGAAAGUGCUUGUUAAAGGGUAGGAAUGAUAUUUUCUUCAGUUUCUUCCAACAUCCGUUUUCUUUUCAAACUUCCCAUAAUAAGCAUCCAUACCCAUGCAAUUUAGGAAAUAAAGGAAAAACAUUUCAACUAAUCAAAACAAAUAUCUUUAAAGUUUGCAUUAAGCAAAUUGAAAUCUUUACUUAUAUAUGUUUUUAAUGAGGAUUAGAGUACAAUGUUUUUUAGAUCAUUUCAUUUAGAUAAGUAUGAAUGGUGUACCAUUUAUAAGUACAUAGACUCACAUCUACAUUGUCCAUUCUGUAGCAUAGGCAGCCCUUAGUGUGAAGUUCUACUUUUAGUCUGAGGUACCUUUUCCUUCCUAUUCUCUGGCUAUGGUAGACAGAUUGUUUUCCCCUCUGUGGUCCUUGUGCCCUGGUGUUAUUCCUGUAAACCUGUGACUUAACAAAUGGGACUUUACAGAUGAAAUUAAGGUUGCUAGCCAGUUGACCUUAAAACCGAAAGAUGAUCUGGGUGAGCCCAAUUUAAUCACAGGGGCCCUUCAAAUCCCAAGAGUAAAGCAGAAGAGUCAGCUCCCCAGUCAGAGAAAUAUAGUGACAGAAGAGACGGGAGAGAUUCAAAACAUGAGUCCCCUUUGCUGACCUUAAGGAUGAAGGAGCCACAGGCCUGAGAACGAUAGUGCCCUCUAGAAGCUGCAAAUGAGCCCUAGCCAACAGCCACAGAAGAAAUGGGACUUCUAUCCCACAGCAGUGUGGAACUAAAUUCUGCCCAUAACCUGAAAGAGCCUUGAAACAGACUACUUCCCAGAGCCCAACCCUACCAGUGCUUUGGUUUUCAAGCCUUGUGUGACCUGAAGAAACAACACUGAAGCUCUGACUUACAGAACUGUAAGAUAACAAAUUUGUGUUAAGUCACUAAGUUUUUGUAAUUUGUUAUAGCAUCAAUAGAAAAUAUAACAGCUGAAGAUAGAAACUACAAUGUAUGACAAAAGUGAAUUCUUCAAGGAAACCUAGGCAAUAUUUUUCUACAAAAGCUUUCUCUGUAACUAUUAACUGACAUGUAGAAUAUUAGCUUAAUGACUCAGCAGAAACAAAAAUAGCUUUCACAUUAACCAGAGACUUUAAUUUGAUUUUGUGAAAAAAGCUUAUAAGCAAUCAAGCUGCUUUUCUCUUUUGUGUUUGUUACUUAUAAGUACGCACAGUGCAAAUAUUAAUCAGGGAGAACCUGUAACUAUGAAAUGCUAUGUUGUUCAAGAUGACAUCUUUACCAUGUGGUUACUGGAAGACAGAGCCUUCCCACUGAUCAUUUAACACCCACAAAAAAUACAUAACAAACAAAACUGAAAUUUGAAUCUAUGGUUAUUAAAACACAAAAGCAUUUGAAGUCGGGGCUUUUUUCCUUUUUCCUGAAAUAAAUUAUAAAGAGUGAUCCCAAUUUCAAAGGUUUAAAAAAAGAUUUUAAUAGAUAUAUAUCAAGUGCUUCAACAGGUGACUCAGCCUAUGGAGUAUUUUUUCUUUUUCAAAAAUAGGCUAAGGAAGAAUGAACAUAGGAUAUUCUUGAAAAUGUUUUGACUAAUAUCCAAUCUUGCAUUUUCUUAUGAUUGUCAUGGUCAUAACCUAAUGGCUAUCCACUUUCAGUUUUAUUUGUUGCACUCAAAAUUCACUGUAUGAUAUUUAAGCAUACAUGACAAAGAACACAGGCAUUCUUCUUAAAACAAUAUUUAGAUUACUCUGCUUAGAGUUCACAGUUCUCUAACAAUUUUACAUUAAACACGCAAAACAUUGUACAACCAGAGAGAUUUGUGAACAGUCUUGAGAGAAAGCUGUAUUUUGGUACAUUAAGGCAGCUUCAGCCAACAACUUAAGAAGUUCUGAAUAUUUGUUGCCACAAAAGACAAGUUCAAAAUUUGAAUAUUUGAUGUUUUCAAGAAAUUUUAAGUCACUUAAAAUAAGAAUACCAUAAUUCGUGAAACUGUGGUCUUAAACAUUUUUACCACUAUAUUCUUACCACAUUAGACUUCUAAAAUCAAGAUAGUCAUCCUAUCAGUAUCAAAGAUUUCUAUUAAAAAGAAGAAAGGAAGGGAUUUACCUUAAAUAUGAUGAUAAACCCUGUAUUUAAGUAAGGGCCCUCAGUUUCUCACAAACGUCUGUGAGGUAGGUUAUUGUCCACAUUUUGUAGAUGAGAAAAUCCAACCAAACUGAGAAUCACAUUCCAAAUUAAUUUUUGUUCUUUGCUCUGCAUUAUUUCUUGCCUUUACAAACAUUUUAAAGGGUUGAACUGUAAAGAUUCUUAAUCACUGCAUUCAUUUUAAAAACAUGAGAAAGCAGCCAAAGUUUCACCAAAAUGACUUAAGAAGUGAAACAACAUAAAGGCAACAGAAAAGUACAUCCAGUGAACAGCUUCUGACAGUGAUAGGGUGAGGUAUAGGCAAAGGAGCCUGAAAACCAAACAGGCAAAAGCAAACAAUGUAACCAUCUGUGGAGGGCAGAACUGAGGGAAAACAAGAGCAAUUAGAAAAAACAACUUCAGACAAAUUUUUGACUAAUUAUUACUAUUCCUAUAAUUUGAGAAGGCACAAUUAAGGUGUUUUGUUUAGAGCAAUUAAUCUAUUUUUUUUUCCAUUCAGGAAAAUAUUAUCCAUCUAGAAGAAUGGCCUUUCUUUGUAACAAAAUUAACUUAAAAGGGAUUUUUAGCUGUGAGAAAUAAACUCUUAUAAGCAGCAAAAAAUUAACUAUGUAAUUCUCUGGGGCUAGACCAUUCCUGUGCCUCCUUGAAAUUUUAAAUCAACACAAAGCAGCUAACCUUGCAAAAUCACACAGAUAAACCUUGUCAAAAUUCUGUGUAUGUUCAGAAAAGUUUUCAUGCUAAGAUACUCUACAAAUACUUCAGCUUUUUUUCCUGAAAAGAACACACUACUCUGGGGUUUCCUUAAUUGCACUUUAAAUGUAACUGAAAUUUACCUAUCUUGCUUGUCCAAAUAACCAUGAGCUACCUCCGCAAAACCUAAACUGCUUUGGAUAUAAACAGUAGUUACCCGAAAUCCCAUCACAGUCAUGGCUGCAAAUGGCACUGCUCUGCAAGUAGAGCAGUAAACGCGAACACUGGCUCACUACUCUAAUACCGCUAAUACCGGCCCACAGUCUGGUAACUUCUAGACCCAGGCUGACUCUUAAUCAGGUUCUGGCUGAAAAAGUUUAAUUAAAACUCAGUCCAGUCUCACUGUGAGUCAGGUUCUUUAUGCUCUUACUGUUUACUUUAUGCUAUUACUGUUCAGUGGCAUCAAAUCCAUCAAGAUUAUAUGUGGAAAGGCUAGUAAGGAAGCCAGGAAUUUGUUCAAGUAACGUAUCAUUUUUUUAAAGCUCCUCAAACAAAUGACAUUUCAAAGUUCUGUAAGAUCUGGGAGAAUAUCAAGCUAAUAAUAAUUAGGUAGCUUGUGAACAGAGAUAUACUCUAUGAAAACAGUGUUUAUCAUCUAAAUACCCAUACAAAAUGAAAAAGUAUCAAUCUGUACAUGAAAUUUAGAUAAACCUAAUUCAGAUAACAGUCAAAAACUAUUAUAAUUUAAGAUAGGGGCUGCAGCUACUUUUACUUUUUAUAAAAGACUGUGCUACAAGGAUCAAGUAAAUAAAAUUAAAGGAAGAAUCAUGCUUAAAACACCUUCAGUAUUUUAUAAGCACCCUCAAUAAUUCAAAAGUACUUAUAAAUAUCAAUAUACUAAUCAUAAAUAAUUUUAGUUAGUAUAAUCAACCAGUUCCAAUAAUUAAGAAAUAUUCAGUUAGGACUACUUUAUGUCACUCAAAGAAUUGAAAGCAAUACAUCUGGGUUUUAUCUUUAUUACUCAACUACUCAGAUGUUUCAGUGAUUCAGACUGUUCUCCCCUUGAGGAAGGUGGGACAGAAAGAGCAGUGGUCAUUGCUGAAUACUUGUAUGGCAUUAAAGCUUUAUGAAGAGCUUUGUGGUCCUGCUUCUUCAACUAGAAAAUGGUUAUACCUCACAAGAUUACUGUAGUGUAUUAACUAUGUUAAUAGACAUGGUCUCUGGAUCUAAAAACCACUAUAAAAAAGUAUGGAACACUUCUAAUACUUCAAAUUAGUAAUAUUUUGCUUAUGCCAAGUGCACAUGAUGUUUUAACGUGUUCAGUUUUCUAGAUGACUUUUGCCAUUUGUAUUCUAGAGGACAGCUGUAUUUAAAUUUUUUUUUCAAGUAUAAACCUUUAAAAUGCCUCACCAAACAAAUACAGAACAUUGACACUAGUAUAAAAUCUCUAAAUAUAUAAAAAGUGAACACUAACACAAUCACACAAAAAAGGAAAAGACAUAACUUUAAAGCUCAAAUGUACCUUGGAGGCCUUUUAGCCUAUCCUCCUACUUUAGUGGUUACAAACCGAGGUCCAACAUAGGUGUGAUUUACUAACAGAUUGCACAUAUCCCUCAUCCAGAAUUUCCAAUAGAGCCUCUGAGAACGAUUAUUAAAAUAAAUUACCUUCCCUAUUUAAAAAGUCACAGAAUGACAGAAUGACCAGGUAAAGAUAUGCCAGACUGAAAAGAUGGAGUUCUUUAAAAACAAAAACAGACAAAACCAUGAACAUGGUUUGCAUUUAGAUAUUGAGAUUUCACAGCCAUCAACAGGAUUUAAAUUAUUAACCAGUGGCAGACAAAGAUACCGUGUCUGUGGGAAGCAUAUUCUAAGCUUUUCUAUUUUAUAAGUGGAAGGUACAGUACUUAUAUUAACUCAGUAUACUGCACAUUAAUAGAAACUACAGAUAAAUUCAAACAGUCAGAAAACCUGUAACAGUUGUCUAUGAUUAUUUUCUUAAUUAUGUCUCUUCCAAUUAAAAAAAAAAAAAAAGUUUAUGUUCCCUGAGUACAAACUGGCUAGAGAAUAAGAAAAAGCAACAAUUAUGCAACUCUCAUGGGAACCCUAUUUGCAGAAAAUGGAGAAUUGUCUGUAAAACAUACAGCCAAUUAUCUGACAGAGAAAUACUGGUACUUCCAAUUAAUUUAGGCUCCUAGAUUCUUGUUAUAGCAGACUAAUACCAAGGAACAAAAUACUUGAGGUUACAAAAGUGUGCCAAAAGUUUGUUGAUCAAAACAAAAUCCAACUUGAAAUAGGUUUGCCUACCUCCCCAAUUUAUCUGUUCCUACGUUACAGAUUACAGGAAUUAGAUCUAAAUAUGGUGUCCUGUAUUUAGAAAAUGUUCAUGGACUAUACAGUUUGAAAGUGAGAAUCAAUGUCAUAGACUCAUUGCCUACAAAGCCAUAGAGCCAUAAUAAGCAUUAGUCACUAGUUUUCUUAGGCCUUUUUUUUUUUUUUUUACACAAAUAAUCUGCUUUAAGUUUUCUCAGCUAUCCAUUCAACACAACAAAUAAUAAAUUUUGCUCCCAAACAAUACCACAAUCUGAUUAAGAAAAUCAAGGUGCUAUGAAACACAUCACAGACAUACAAAAUUUUGUUUAGGCCAGCAUUUGCUCAAAUGAGGAUGUCCACAGGUUAAAAUGAAAUUUUUCUGAUUCUGAGAACCAUAUUCUCUCCAGCAACUGGUAAGAAGAAAAGAUACCUUAAUUCUAUUAUUUCCUAUGUUAAUUAUCAUUAUAUAAUUACAUAUAUUAUUAUAUAUAUAUGUAAUAUACAUAUUACAUAUAUAUUAUAAUUAACUAAUUAUAGCAACCUGGAACAAUAAGUUUCCUAAAAUAGUAUUUUCCAAAUUUGCCUUUUCCCAUGGAAUAUUAAGAUUAAAAGUAGUUAAAUUAAUUUGGGGAAAGCAGGGUUAAAGUUUUCUUUUUUUCACUGAAGGACUUUUCAAAGUCUUUAAUUCUCAUAUCCACUCCAUCCUCAAGCAAGUGUGGCGUAUAACACUUUCCAAACUUGCUCAAUGGACUCGUUUUUCAGCACAGCACCUCAGGGAUACAGUGUGGGAAAUGCUAUUGUAGAACCAUAUGGAGUUCAUUUCCAUGAUGUAGCUAAUUCUUUAUAACCUAAUAAUAGAAGCUCUCCUCCAAAAUCUUAACUUGAAGAAAUUCUUCCCACCGCAGAUCUAACAACCACAUACCACACCCCUGAUUAACCGGGUUACAAGAUUGAAAUGUGGGAAUUUAGCAACUGAUUCUUUCCCUUUUCCUGCCCAUUAGCAACAAAAGCCUCCUAUGACAUUGUUCCGGCCCCUAUUAUGCCGUACUGAGCCUCCUGAAAUCUCCUCAAUAUAAAGCAAUUUACUGUACCUUCUAGAUUCAGAGUAGCUGUGCUUUAAAAAUGUAAGCAUAAGAGAACUGAAACUGCAACCCUGGUUCUCCUAAAAUUCAACAGAUAACCAUCAAAAUGUAGAUAUUCACAAAUACUGGCAAGAAUGAGAAAAUAGUAUAUAAUAUUUUUAAUUCUCAAUAAACAUGAUAAUCACCAAUAUAAAGUAUUUGUAUAUGAAUAAGUUCUUAAUAUCUGAUUUAUUCGACUAACAAAGCUAAAAUGCCACUAUAUUCCUUGCUGUUUUUCCACCUUCAAAAUUGUUAGGGAUUUUGUCAUUAGGGAUAAGGAAUCAUCAGAAUUCCUAUUUCUAAGAUCAAUCACAGUCAAGCAAAUCGUAUGAGGUGGACCUGUUCUUCCCAAAAGAGGUAUUUACACAUUUGAAGACGUUAAAAUUAUGCCCUAUCUAUAACGCACAGCCGGACGCUUAUCCCUCUAAAAACAAUCACAAAAAGUACCCUUUGAUGCCACUAGAUGGCAAUCUUUCAAAGGUUUAAACUUAAAAAGAGUUCAAUGCAAACCCACCCUUUUUCCCAAAUUGGCGAGCAAAGAUUCCUUUAGAUAUUAUGAAGUCAGACUUAAAAGUUACUUAACAC
This is a long non-coding RNA of Lutra lutra (Eurasian river otter), 7604 nucleotides long. RefSeq lists it as uncharacterized. The record is from RefSeq and is a predicted model, not a curated record. The transcript is spliced from 2 exons. Lineage: Eukaryota; Metazoa; Chordata; Mammalia; Carnivora; Mustelidae.